This 134-nucleotide small nuclear RNA is filed under the name Neogale vison (American mink). RNAcentral describes it as "Neovison vison (American mink) U4 spliceosomal RNA (ENSNVIG00000011960.1)". It matches the Rfam family "U4 spliceosomal RNA". Rfam says of the family: U4 small nuclear RNA (U4 snRNA) is a component of the major U2-dependent spliceosome. The record is from RNAcentral. Lineage: Eukaryota; Metazoa; Chordata; Mammalia; Carnivora; Mustelidae.
AGCUUUGCGCAGUGGCAGUAUCGUAGCCAAUGAGGUUUAUCCGAGGCGCGAUUAUUGCUAAUUAAAUAUUCUUCAACAGCACUAUUUUUUUUUUUUUUUGAGAAAGCGAGGGAGAGUGUGUGUGUGCACAAGCA